CAGGCUGGGAGUGCCCGCCUCGAGGUCUCCUUACUUACCCACCACGGUACCCUGGCCAGGGCCGUCUGAGGUGGCUCCUGUUAUCGUGGCUGCUUUUGAGGAUCAUGGUUAAGACCACCGGACCGACGGUCAAGCCGGUUGUAAAUACCCUUCUUUCCAUGUUCUUCAGGGACACCAGCCCCAGCGACGACCUUGGACGAUUUCAACGCGCAGGCACCUCGAUCCCCCGAAUUCUUGGUGUGGCCGGUAUCACUGUUCCCCUGGUUUAACUAGCCUGUUUGGUAAGUAACUGAAUAUUUUUUACAGCGUGUUCAGAGCUUAUUUUCCAGUUUUUAUGAACAAACAUAUAAAUAUAUCUCUGCAUUCCUGACUCUCCCAUAAAAGCGGGCAUCUGUGGAAAGCAGGUUUAGUUAUCGGAGGGGAACCAUUAAACAGCAGUUUAAGAGGCAGAGCGGGAGGACGGCUCGUGGAUGUUUAGACUGCUGGCCUUAGUGAUCUUGAACGCAUUAUAACGGAAAAUGGAUCUCCAUUUGUAAGUCAGCGGGCCGCGCGGGGCACCAGGGCCGCGGCGCCCGCGUGGCGUGAGCAUCUUGAGGAAGCUGGAGAGAGGCUGGGGCGGGGAUGGACAGGGGCAGGAGCUGAAACAUCCUCAGGACUUGGUUGGGAGUCGCAAAGGGAGCCGGCUAUGCAGCUCAGGAUUCGGCCCGAAGGAGUUUGGUGUGGAAAAGGGUGUCAACCAGGACCCCACGCGGCCGUAAAUUAGAGGAAGCCCAAGGCAGGGUGCACAGAAGCGUGGGCCGGCCAGGGCGGCCUGGGACUCGCCACUGGGCCUGGCUGGGGUCACCCAGGGGAGACCUUUAACUCCACCUUGGAUAUUGUACUUUGGAAGCAGGCAGAGUCAGGCCCCAGGCCGCCAAGGGAGCCCCACCCCACAAAGGGAGCCCCACCCCAAGGACUCGGAAGGGACAGUCCAUUCCUUUCCCGCUGGGCGCUUUCGGCGGAGUCCGCGGUUGGGGAUGGAAAGCGAGGUCAGUGCUAAUGGCGGGGGGGGGGGGGGGGGGGGCGGGAGGGGUGGUGGGGGCGCCCACCUCCUGAGCUGCGGGGGAUGCAGGGCCGGCUCCCUCGGCCUUUGCAGCCCUGGGCAGCAGCGUGGAGAAAUACUGUUCAGAUAUUUCCGUGGCUGGGCGUUAGGACAGGGGAAGAUCCUCGGAGAGGGGCUAGGAAACCCAGUGUGGGAGUGAAGUGUCCGUUCGGGCCCUUUCCCUCCCCUCUGCAAGGGGUCAAUUUCCCUGGAUGCCCCCAGCAUAGCAUUUUAAGGCAGAGAGCAGGGGGUGGGGAGAAGCUGAAAUCAGAUUUGUUGGUAAAGUGCCACUUGGCGCAUGGAUCAAAAUAGCGAGCUAGAAGCCCUCGACCCCCCAACUUGGAUGGGUCUGAGAUUUUAGCACAAGCAGGGUGUUUUAAAGACCUUGUUCUUCAAGGAAAGAAUAUAGGUAGUGUGAUGGGGUUCUGUUUACAUUUUCACCAGGGAGGCAAACCCUGAAUGUGUAAAUACUGGUAGUUCAAUCCUCUGACAUGUGAUACUUUUUUUUUUUUUUAAGUCUGUUUAUAAGAACACAUCCAGGCCCUGGAAGCAGGUAGAAAAAGCAUGAUGGUGGCACCCAGGCUAGCAACAGAUAACUGCUCAGGGAAAGAAGUUGGUAGACUGCUUUCAGACCCAGAGGGAGUUUUGGGAACUGAAAGGAAGAAUGGCUGAGUUGGGGACUGGGAUGCCCUGUCCAUCAGAGGUGAGUGGCCUCAGUGUCGAAGCCAUCAGAAUUGGCCACUUUCAGCCUUCUCAUGCUCUUUUAAUUGAAACCAAAAAUGGGCAAAUCUCCUCAUGGCCCCAGAUAUCACGGCAAGUGAUAAAAGAGACGGAGAACACGGGACAGAAAAGAAAAAAAAAAAGUCGUAAAAGAUGCUAAUCUGAGCAUCAGUCCUCACUGACAGUGUCAUUAUCAGUUAAUUAAUGCUGUGCAACAGUCUGGGGCUUCAUGUAGCUCAGAGAGCCAGACCCAGAGACUACAUACAGUCUCAGAAAGGCAAUUUGUAGGCAGGGGACAAAUGGGUGAACUCCAGCGUCCUUAACUGUAGUUAUUAACUCGCAGAGACCAGACUGGCUGAGGGCCAUUCCCAAUUCACAACCAAACGAGUCCUCUUUUUUCUCAUAGAGUCCUCUUUUGUACCUUUUGCUGCGGGUCUAGUGGGGGUGCUGGGUUAGUCUGCUGCUUUGGAAAGCUGUGAGGCAGAUCCACCUCAAGUUCAAGUUUGCCCCCUCCCCCCCCCCAGUUUAGACGAUUAGACAGUCUUUGCUUUCUGGUGGUAGUGAGGGAGGGGGGAGAGUGAUGGAGGAGAACAGUGGGAAAAGAAAGGGAGGAGGGUGAAUUUCCCAGCUGAGAUGUCAGCCAGGGACUGCACUACUGUGCACGCUGCUGAGCUGUCCCCCUAAGGGCACAAGUUCCAGUACUCAAAGGGCGCAAGCAUCUGAGAUGCUGCAGGCUGUUGGCCACCCUGGGUGCCCGCAGGAGGAUUCCUAGUGAGGGUGUACUAACUUGCCUCUCCUUUUCUGAGGCCAUGGGCUGAGCUGCAACCAGUCUUACCCAGGUGGGCAGCCCCCCGUUUGGAGACAUGCUGUGAUUCCUUGUCCAGUCUCCACUGUAGCUGAUGGUCUACCCCUGUACCGCGCGAUACGUCCGCCUCCAGCUAAACAGACAGAACCGGGUUCAACAAUUUGUUUUGCGCCCCUGUCUCUUGGCUCUUUCCCUUCACUCCCACCCCUUCCUCUGGAAAAGACUCAAAGAGCCUGGGAGAAGCUGAGAACUAACUCCCUUGCAAACGUUUUGGUCUUGUGAGAUAUUCCUUUUAAAAUCAAUCUGCUUUAAACUAAAUAUUUUUUUUAAAAACUUCAGUCUGUUUUUAGGGAAAAUACAGAUCUCUCGGAGGUAUUUAUUAUUACAAAGGCAAGGGCAGUUUGUAUCUUAUGUUUUGCUCAUGAGAACUCAAAAUAAACUGGACCUGAAAAGAACCAGGCCAGAGGGCCAUAAACACACAUUUUAUGUUUACGGGAAUUAUGGCUCAAUUCCCUUCAUCGUUUUUCAAAUCUCGUUUUACCUUAUUUUCCUGACCAACAUAGUUGGAGCAAUGGGGCAUUCCUUUAAAUAUCUAUAACGCUCUUAUAUAAGGUGAACCCCAGAAAGUGCCGAGAACUCCAGAAAGAACACCAGACCCAGAAGAUGGCAGAAAAAGAAAUGUGUUCUCGGGGAAGUAACCUCAGCCUCACCUGUUCCAAGGAAGUUGUUUCUUAGGACACCCUGAUGGCUUUGCAUUUUGUCUGAAUAAGGGUGGGAUUGAGUCAUUUUAUAGGCUAGCCACUUGGUCUUAGAACCUUCAGGACAUGAAGAAUAAGGCAUACUGUCUGAGUGGCGGCAAAGGAUCUCCCAACUCGGGUUCCAUAGUCCCUCCCUUUCUGGUUUGCCUUUUGGGAAAUGGUUGUCUACAGACAUGGCAAGUGACAGUGACUCCAGAAAUGUGGGGGUGCUCAGAGGAUACUUCUACAAUGCAGGAUCACGUUCGAUUGGACUCUUAUAUCUGUUUCACAAGAAGUUGCCCAUGGCUCUUAUGAGAUUUUAUUUGUUCUGAGCACUUUCUUUUUGCAUUUUGGGGUGGGGUGGGGUAUUUGGGGAGUGAUUCCUCUCCCCUCUUCUUUCCAGAGCAGAUCUGUGGAGAUGGGGGGGGGAGGGGCUGAUUCAGCUGCAAUGGAGGAGGGGCUGAUUGCUUACGACUCCCUUCAGUCCAGUGUUUUUGUUUUUGUUUUUGUUUUCAGUCCAGUUUUGAUUAGGAAACAUUUAAGUCAGUGGAGAAAAUGGGACUUGUUUGAUGCCUCCCCUCCAUUUAGCCUUUCUUUCAUAUUCCCUUCUUCCCUGCCAGCCCUUUCCUCUUUCUCUCUCUCCCUCCUUCCCUCCUCCUCUCUACCCCCCCCCCCCACCCCUUCAAAUUUGCCUUUGAGCAGUGCUUGGAUUUCUGAGGUUUCUGAUCCCUUCAGGUCAUUGAACCUGAAACUGGUGAAGAAUAAGAUACUGGCUUCUCCUUUAGUCCUUUAAGAAAAAUAAGUAUUUUUGUAAAACACUGAGAUGUAAUUGACAAAUAACGCUGUGUAAGUCUAAGACGUACAAUGUGCAAGAAAAAUGUCACUGUCCAGUCUUACAGGUAGUGGGAAUUUGCAUUUUCUUCAAACGGUCCCUGACGAGAUCUUCAUAUUAACUGGCAGAUGGGCUGCUGCUGUGGGAGGUUUUCACUGAUACCUGGCCAGUUAUUCAAGUUAAAAUACUUAUUCCGACAAAAGGGAACAAAAGAGAAUGCACCUGAAAGGGCCUCCCUAGAGGCAGCAAGAUGUGUAUAUAGGAGGUGCUAUUGAUGUUGUUAUAAGAGGUAAGGUAGAUCUGAUCAUUGCUGCUUUCUAGUAAAGCAUAGAUAGUUUAGAGCACCAGUGGUGUGAGAAAAUACAUGCCACAGGAUUUCUCCUAACUGCUUUGUUUCAAGCAAAUUACAUACACACUGGCAAUAUUUUCUUCCAAGCUAGAAGGAAAGCACUCCACAUUCAGAUGACGAGGAAGCAAUUGUAUUGCAUCCACGGUCUAUGGGAAAAUAAGCAGUCGUUAACUUCAACUAGUCUGCAGGAGGGUUCAGAAUGAAAUACAAAAGCGAAUGGCAACUUAAAAUGUGGAGCUUUGGACAAGCCAUUUAAGUGAGCGAAGGUUUUGUCUGUGACUGGAGGCCCCAUGCAUUCCCAGUUGUAACUGCGGUGUAGCGAGAAUUCUUAGGAAGUCCUGUUCGGAAGCUUCCUUUGCAAAUUCAUGUCGUUUUUUUUUUUUUUUUGUUGUUGUUGUUGUUUGUUUGUUUUGUUUUGUUUUUAGCCCUGGCAGUUUCUUGCAACCCUUUUCUACUUUAUUCUAGGGCCUUUGCUUCUAGACAAGGGACUUGAGCCAGGAUGGUUAGGUUUCAGGUUAACAAAAAGAAACCCUUUUAUUGUCAAUAUUAAUGGCAAACCUCGAUUUUUACAAGGUUUAGGUUUAGCGGCACGAGCAGAUCAAAAGCAGCUUGGCUUGAUUUCUCAAUAUUCUCCGGAGCUUAGACAAUUAGCUGCAAUUUUGCGUCGAACGAAACAACACAAAAAUGUUAGUUACCAAAAUGUUAAAGUUAGUCUUUCGGCAAGGAUUUUACCUGUGCACAACGUGUCAGAAGCUAAUAAAUUCGUCCACUGAACCUGAGUUGAGUUUUGAAGGAAACGCCUUUAACAAAAUGUGUGAGCACACUGUCUUCAUUUGCAAUGCCACGGAGACCUGUUUCAGCUGUGUGCAUUCCACACUUGCCUUUCUGGCUGGGUAAGGAUCCGGCAGACUGAGGUCUCUCUGGUAAUUUGGGUACACCGAGUCUCCAGUUAAUGAUAGAUAAUCAGCCUUUGGGUCAUUCGGUCAUUCUCUUAUUACAAACCCCUCCUGCUCUCUCUGAUCUCCUUUCAAACUAAAUUUCACACAAACAAAUAAAGCAAGACAGGGACAAGUUCCUUAAAAAAAAAAAAAAGGAGGGAGAAAUAUUAGAAACUCCUGAUACAGAACUCUAAACAAGGAAAGGCAAGCUAAAAGAGGAUAGGAAAGAACAUCUUAUCAAAAUGAACAUGCUGUGUACAAAACAUUAGAAGAGAAGGCUCUGGUUUCUGUUAAAGUGACAGAAAAUUAAAAUAAAAAUAAUUGCAGGCAGAGAAGUUAUAAUAUAAACAGAGAAGGCAGGAUGCUUGCUGGAAAUGCGCAGCACGAGGAGGCUAAUUUGUUGUUACAGAUUAUAUAUCUGCACCCGUGAUAGGAGAGGCGCUACUUUGUUCUAUUUUCCAGAAAAGAAUGGCUUUCUUCUUAGUACUUGUGUGAGUGCUCACUUAACACAGGCCAAAACCUCGAGGAACAAAAAAUGGAAUUGCAUUCUGCUUGCGAAGCAUCCAACUUCAAAAGAAGGAAUUGGUUGCAUACAAAAAAAAAAAAAAAGCAUUCCAUUCAAAACACAUUUAGAGGGUUCACUAAAUUGGUAUGACUGAUGCUUUUUUGUUUUGCUGACAGAAGGUGCAGAUCAUUCUCGGGGAAGUCCAACCGAAACCAGCCCUCCCCUGCCCUCUGGAGUCUUCGUUUUCCAGCCUACAUCUGCUUGUGACUCCAGAAAGAGACUCCAGAUUGGCCAAGGUACAUCUCUGACCAGAUCCCUCUAGGAAAAGCUCAGGAAUGCGUGACUCUAAUUGUUCAGAACUCUGGUGAGAGUGUCCCUAGUGCCAUUUUGCUGCCCCUGUCUUUGACAAUCCCUUUUGGCCCAAGUCCAGGUCUCCGGAAGGGUCAAGGUCUAGCUGCUGGUGUCAAGCCCAAGCCCCAGCUUUUCAAUCCUAGGAGAGGUUGGAACUUUGGCUCAGGGCUUGAACAACUCACAGUUCUCCAAGUUAGAGGGGCAGUCCUGAAACAGCAGCAGGUGGUGAAAUUGUGACUCCGAGAUUGUCCCGGACUGAAGUCUGGCA
This 6586-nucleotide long non-coding RNA is filed under the name Lynx pardinus (Iberian lynx). The record is from RNAcentral. Lineage: Eukaryota; Metazoa; Chordata; Mammalia; Carnivora; Felidae.